AGAGUUUGAUCCUGGCUCAGGAUGAACGCUAGCGGCAGGCUUAACACAUGCAAGUCGAGGGGUAACAUGAGUGCUUGCACUUGAUGACGACCGGCGCACGGGUGCGUAACGCGUAUAGAACCNACAGGGGGAUAGCCUUUAGAAAUGAAGAAUAAUACCCCAUAGUAUAUAAAUAUCGCAUGAUAAUUAUAUUAAAGAUUUAUUGGUAAAAGAUGAGUAUGCGUUCUAUUAGCUAGAUGGUAAGGUAACGGCUUACCAUGGCAACGAUAGAUAGGGGCCCUGAGAGGGGGAUCCCCCACACUGGUACUGAGACACGGACCAGACUCCUACGGGAGGCAGCAGUGAGGAAUAUUGGACAAUGGAGGCAACUCUGAUCCAGCCAUGCCGCGUGUAGGAAGACUGCCCUAUGGGUUGUAAACUACUUUUAUAGAGGAAGAAACCGCGAUAUGUAUAUCGCUCUGACGGUACUCUACGAAUAAGGAUCGGCUAACUCCGUGCCAGCAGCCGCGGUAAUACGGAGGAUCCAAGCGUUAUCCGGAAUCAUUGGGUUUAAAGGGUCCGUAGGUGGACAAUUAAGUCAGAGGUGAAAGUUUGCCGCUUAACGGUAAAAUUGCCUUUGAUACUGGUUGUCUUGAAUCAUUAUGAAGUGGUUAGAAUAUGUAGUGUAGCGGUGAAAUGCAUAGAUAUUACAUAGAAUACCAAUUGCGAAGGCAGAUCACUAAUAAUGUAUUGACACUGAUGGACNAGCGAACAGGAUUAGAUACCCUGGUAGUCCACGCCGUAAACGAUGGUUACUAGCUGUUCGGACUUCGGUCUGAGUGGCUAAGCGAAAGUGAUAAGUAACCCACCUGGGGAGUACGUUCGCAAGAAUGAAACUCAAAGGAAUUAGGAAUUGACGGGGGCCCGGCACAAGCGGUGUGGAGCAUGUGGGUUUAAUUCGAUGAUACGCGAGGAAAGCUUACCAGGGCUUAAAAUGUAUAAUGACAGGUUUAGAGAUAACUUUUUACUUCGGACAUAUUACAAGGUUGCUGCAAUGGUUGUCGCCAGCUCGUGCCGUGAUGGUGUCAGGUUAAGUCCCUAUAACGAGCGCAACCCUGUUGUUAGUGCCAUUGCGAGUAAUGUCGGGAAACUCUAGCAAGACUGCGUGCAAACCGCGAAGGAAGGUGGGAUGGACGUCAAAUCAUCACGGCCCUUACGUCCUGGGCACCCCACACGUGCUACAAUGGUAUGUACAGAGAGAGCACCUGGGUGACCAGAGCGAAUCUAUAAAGCCUAUCACGUUCGGAUCGGAGUCUGCCAACUCGACUCCGUGAAGCUAGGAAUCGCUAGUAAUCGGAUAUCAGCCAUGAAUCGGUGAAUACGUUCCC
RNAcentral lists this ribosomal RNA (1367 nucleotides) under Gracilariopsis lemaneiformis. Its description in RNAcentral is "bacterial SSU rRNA". It matches the Rfam family "Bacterial small subunit ribosomal RNA", at positions 8 to 1375 of the family's 1533-position model. Lineage: Eukaryota; Rhodophyta; Florideophyceae; Gracilariales; Gracilariaceae. The record is from RNAcentral.